Toxorhynchites rutilus septentrionalis is the source of this 492-nucleotide long non-coding RNA. RefSeq lists it as uncharacterized. The transcript has 2 exons. The record is from RefSeq and is a predicted model, not a curated record. NCBI's taxonomy places the organism in Eukaryota, Metazoa, Arthropoda, Insecta, Diptera, Culicidae.
CCGUGUUGUAGAAUUUAUUGUUGUGCUGUGAGUUUUGUUUGAUAUAUUUUUGAUGUUUUAGUUUUUCUGUAAUAUUUGGAUGUUUCUCAGUAGUAUUUAGAUUUAUUUUAUUUAUACCGUUAUUGUUUUCCGUAUUCUGUUGGAUUUUCUUAUGUUACUUUGAGUUUCAGAGUUGUUAUUUUUUUACACUACUGAUUUUUCUAUUAUUUGAUUGUUCUAUUGUUUUCCGCUGUAGAUAUUAUUAAUAUUUUUUUCUUUCUUACAUUGCAUCAAAUACAUGAGAGCUAUCGAGGGGAAUCUUCUGGCCUUGGCCUGACUUGCUAGCCUACAACACUGAGAAAUGGCUAUGAGUAGGUGACACAAGGAGUGACGUGAUAGAUCAAACCGAGGAAAUUCAUAGAGAUGGGGCCAAGUCACGAUUUAGCUUUAAUAUUUUUUUUAACAAUUUUUGUUGUAAAAUAAAAUAAAAUUAAUUAAUUUACAAUAAACUAA